UACGGAGGGUGCAAGCGUUAUCCGGAUUCACUGGGUUUAAAGGGUGCGUAGGUGGAUUAGUAAGUCAGUGGUGAAAUCUCCGGGCUUAACCCGGAAACUGCCAUUGAUACUAUUAGUCUUGAAUACCGUGGAGGUCAGCGGAAUAUGUCAUGUAGCGGUGAAAUGCUUAGAUAUGACAUAGAACACCAAUUGCGAAGGCAGCUGGCUACACGAAUAUUGACACUGAUGCACGAAAGCGUGGGGAUCAAACAGG
This 253-nucleotide ribosomal RNA is filed under the name uncultured bacterium. RNAcentral describes it as "partial 16S ribosomal RNA". It matches the Rfam family "Bacterial small subunit ribosomal RNA", at positions 524 to 776 of the family's 1533-position model. The record is from RNAcentral.